GCCUAGCUGGCUCAGUCGGUAGAGCAUGCAACUCUUGAUCUUGGGGUUGUGUGUUUGAGCCCCACGUUGGGUA
RNAcentral lists this transfer RNA (73 nucleotides) under Felis catus (domestic cat). It matches the Rfam family "tRNA". From Rfam's summary of the family: Transfer RNA (tRNA) molecules are approximately 80 nucleotides in length. Their secondary structure includes four short double-helical elements and three loops (D, anti-codon, and T loops). Lineage: Eukaryota; Metazoa; Chordata; Mammalia; Carnivora; Felidae. The record is from Rfam by way of RNAcentral.